Molecule: long non-coding RNA, 888 nt
Organism: Cyprinus carpio (common carp)
Lineage: Eukaryota; Metazoa; Chordata; Actinopteri; Cypriniformes; Cyprinidae
Source: RefSeq, a predicted model, not a curated record
AUUGCUACAGUUUUGAAACACAAACGUCCACUGGGGUCGCUAAAGAGAAGGACUGCAUGUGACAUUGCAAUCGACAGUAAGAGCAGAGGUUCCAGUCAUAUCAAAGAGGAAGAAGAGUAAAGUUUUUUUUUUUUUUAGCCUAUCAAGGAACAGGAGAUUUGAAGAUCAUCUGUAAUCUCACUAUCUUUCUGCCUCUUGCAGUACAACGCAGACAGGUGUUAAAAAAUAAAUGACUGAGAGAGUCAUCUGAUCAGCCUAUACCAGAGAAAAAUAUGGAGGAGGAAUUACACCGUGAUCUUGAGGAAAUAAUGGCUGAUUUGGAGGAGAUGCACCUCAACAUGUUUAGGGGCGAGAUAUUUGCAUACCCUCUGUUUCUGCAGAAGGAACUGGCCACAAAAACAAACUGCAAGUUCUUCUGCACUGACAUCAUGUGUCAAUAUUGGUCCUAUCUGCAAGAGGUGGCUCAAGCAUUCCCAGAAAUGGAAAACUUGACUCAGAUGAAGCCAUUUCUCUCAGUUAUGAAUGCAAAGGGGCACGCUACAAAUUGUGAGGUAAAUGUAUAUUCUCGAACAAUAUGGUAACUAAGCCUUUUACCAUUUUGAUAUCCAUGAACUUGAUAUUUUUAAUCUGGUGUGCAUGCUGUAGGUGCAGUGGGGUGGCAAAAACCAAACAGGGGCAGCUUGCUUUUUAUUAUUAUUAUUAUUAUUAUUUCAUUCAUCAUACUCUGUGACUAACCACUAAUUGAAAAGCACAUUUAUGCCUUUCAUCAUUACAGCACGAGUAGAUAUGAUCACAUUGCAUGCCAGAGGCCCACAUAGCAAAUGUCUUCUGGCCCAGAUCCGGGCUACACAAUCACUUUUCCCUCGGUCCAAGUGCUGCAAAGAAUGA